This 263-nucleotide ribosomal RNA is filed under the name uncultured bacterium. RNAcentral's name for it is "partial 16S ribosomal RNA". It matches the Rfam family "Bacterial small subunit ribosomal RNA", at positions 793 to 1055 of the family's 1533-position model. The record is from RNAcentral.
GUCCACGCCUUAAACUAUGAAUACUAAGUGUCGGCGGUUUACCGCCGGUGCCGCAGCUAACGCAUUAAGUAUUCCGCCUGGGAAGUACGGCCGCAAGGUUGAAACUCAAAGGAAUUGACGGGGGCCAGCACAAGCGGUGGAGCAUGUGGUUUAAUUCGACGCAACGCGAAGAACCUUACCAAGGCUGGACAUGCAGGUAGUAGAAGGGUGAAAGCCCAACGAGGUAGCAAUACCAUCCUGCUCAGGUGCUGCAUGGCUGUCGU